This 5629-nucleotide long non-coding RNA is filed under the name Sus scrofa (pig). Its description in RNAcentral is "lncRNA (ENSSSCG00035054046.1)". Lineage: Eukaryota; Metazoa; Chordata; Mammalia; Artiodactyla; Suidae. The record is from RNAcentral.
CUGGCCUUCAAAGCCAAAUGCUCUGGGGACUUGUCUUCCAGUGCUAAAUCUCCAGUCUGGGGGGCCUGACAUAGGGCUCAGAACUCUCGCUCCUGUGGGAGAACCUCUUCACUGUAAUUAUUCUCCAGUUUGUGGCUCACCCACCUGGGGUUAUGGGAUUUGAUUAGAUUGUGAGUCUACCCCUCCUAUCGAUCUUGUUGUGGUUCCUUCUCUAGUUGUAGAAGAUCUUUUUUGGUAGGUUCUAGGCUUUUUAAUCAAUGGUUGUUCUGCAGAUAGUGUAAUUUUGGGCUACUUGUGAGGGGAAGUGAGCUCGUGAUCCUUCUACUCCCCCAUCUCCAUUGCUCUAGGUGCAUUCUCUCUCUUAAAAGACAACCAAAAAGCUAUUCCUAGCAGAGAGGGUUUGGGAGAGCCAUUUGAGCGGAAGAAACCCUCCAGCUGGGUGUAACAACCCUUGUAUCAGUGGGAGGCAAUUGUUAUCACACAGGCCACAUAUUCUUCAUCACAGGAUAUGAUAAGCUCUCACAACUCUUCAAUUCUACCCUUAUGAGUAAAUAGCUCAAACAAACAGCACUGCUCUGACAUCCAGGAGGCCUACGUUGUACUCCCAGCGUGACUAAUACCAAUUAAAUGAAUGGUGAGACCAGCCAAUGUCUUUCUUUUCUCUUGGCCUUAGUUUACUCUUUUACUUUUUUUUUUUUUUAAGUGAAAGGGUUGCUUUUGUCACCAGAUAUUUCCCUAUACUGUCCAGCCAAGAGUCCUUUGGAAUUUAUGCCCACCAGGCCCUGAGCCAAGCCUGAGCAGGAUCAGCAGGACUCAGCACCCACUGCCUGUUGGGAUGGGAGUGGGGCUGUCUCUGUGUCUGACUCGGCUUCCUGGGGUCUGGGGUGAGCUGUCUGAGCCCCAGCCCGCUCCCAUUCUUACCGUGUUGGCUCCAACUGUUAGUUGGAUGCCAACCUUGUUUUUCUCUGCCUUUACCACAAGAACAGUUUGUCCCACAGCUCUGAACCCGUAGCAUGAUUUUAAUAACUGCCUGGACCUGGAGUUGAGGCAGCCUUGGCCGCCUCCCCAUGAUACAUUAAGGUGAAUCACUCUGAACAUCCACAUUUGCAAAUGCACAGAGAGAAGGAAUCUUCUGGGUUUGGGCCCACCCAGGCUGAUUUCUUUGUUUUAAGCCCUGCUCUCUCCUUUAUCUCAUUAUUGGAUCAGACUUUCCCCCACCCCCACCCAUUGCAAUCAUUACCCUCGUGCUGCUGGGUUAUUUACAAGUAAUACCUGUGUCCUGACUCCUUGCUCCUCUGAAGAAUGAAGUUUUGAUGACUAAACAACAAUUGUAACUUGUUUCCUCCACUACUGUGGGACCUGAGGUUAUUUGAGUGUAGAGAUGCACAAAGACUUUAUAAAUGCCCAGGAUGUGUUGCCAUGAUUGACUGCGUUUGUUUUGUUACCUCAUAGCAGGUGCUGGUUUGGGAUGGGGUGCAGGAGCCUGGGCUGCCUUGCCUCAGACACCUGUAUGAGACGAAGUUCAGCUGGGGAAAGGUGUGGUUACUGGUCCUCCUGUGAUUUCACUGCCAGGAAACGGGCCCCAGGCCCCGGCCAAAGCACAGGGCAGGAGAGUGAUGGAUUUUUCAGUCACUGCUGAAACCGCCAGCAAAGACAUAGAGGGAGGUGAGGAAAAUGGACAGCGUGUGAGUGCCUAACUCUGAACUGGGUUGCAGUCUCACAACAUCCUAGUAAAGCCUCGUGCAUCCUGAUUUUAGUGGGGAAAAGGAAACUGAGGCCGGAGGAGUGGAGACACAGCUGGGAAGUAUCAGAGCUCGCCUGCCUCUGGUCCCCUCCCAGGGUUGUGCCUGAAAUUCAGAGGACAGAUGAUGAAGCAUUGGCUGAAAUGAGAACACGCAGGCCGCCCGGCCAGCCUGGAACUGCACUGCUGACUCUGAAGACCAUCGAUCUGCUUCUUGGAUUCUGGUUAUUAGUGCGUAAACAGGAGUAAUUAGACAUCCUGAAAAUUGGGCCUGGCAGGAGAGUAGGGAGAUGAAAGGUCAAGGGAGCUGCCUGGGGUGUCCUGCCACGUUGCUUGGUUGCGGGUGGCCCACCACAAAAAUGCAGGGCUGGCUGCUUUAGCAAACCCAGAGAGGCCUGCUCUUUCCUCUUCACAUCAGCAGGAGGUGACAGUGAGCAGUACAUGUCUAGUCUUGCUGCCCCAGAAGAGCCCACUUCUGUUUUGAUUUUGUGAUUUGAGCAAAUGCAUUCACUUCUCCGAGCCUUAGUUUCCUUAUCUGACUGGGGAUGGUAAUACCCACCCCCCCAAAAAAGUCCUCCCUUGUUUUUUGAGACAAUAGUGAGAUUGUGGAUAUAAAUCACUUUGUCAAUCAAGUAUGGGCCCUGUUGAGUUUUAAUGUCUUCUCAACUCUAUUGUCUUUUACGUACAUUUCCUUUAAAGUCUUUCUAGAAGUUGCUGAGCUACAAUGAAAAGGCAAAUACAAAUAAAAGACAUGAUUGUUUCAAAAUUUUACCGACAGUCACUUUGAGAAAACAUUUUCUUUUUUUUUUAUCUUGAAAUUACCCCAAUUUUUGGACACAUAAUUCGAUUGUGAGUGAUACUCAUUCCCUUGAGAAAUACCUAGUGAGUAUCUUCUACAUGCCCUGANAUGUGGAGGUUCCCAGGCUCGGGGUCCAAUUGGAGCUGUAGCUGCCAGCCUACACCACAGCCACAGCAACACAGGAGCCGAGCCUCAUCUGUGACCUACACCAUAGCUCAUUGCAAUGCUGGAUCCUUAACCCACUGAGCAAGGCCAGGGAUUGAACCCGCAUCCUCACGGAUACUAGCUGGGUUUGUUAACCACGAAGCCAUGAUAGGAACUCCGAUUUUUAAGUUUAAAUACAUGCAUGAGGGCACCAAUAAAGUAAUUUUAAUUACAAUAAAUGCUAAAGAGAAGUACUGACUCUCUGAAGAGCAUAGGAUAGAGGGACCUAACCCUGAUUUAGGGGGUUAGAAAAAGUGAUGCUUGAAAUGAAAUCUCAAAGACAUGUUGGGGUUAGGUAAGUGAAGUGGAAAAGGAACAACAAUUCCAGGCUUCAGGAAUAGCAGGUGCAAAGGCCCGGAGCAGCAAAAAUAACAAAGAAGGUCAGUGUACUCGGAUUGCAAGGAGCACCCCUGGCUUAACAUAGAAGUGGAAUAUCCGUGACUUUUCUAUGCAUGAGGAAAAAACAGUCACUGAAAUAUUGGAUGGAUUGGAAGGAUAGACUUUUAUCUUUUGGUACUCGCUGUAGGUCAAAAUCAACAUGGUCAGCUUUAGGGUUUUAAAAAUGUAUUUAAUGUAAUUUCCUGGACUCAUAUGAUAAUAAUAUUUGGCAUAAAGAUAGUGACAUAGUGGAAAAACUUUAUUUUCAGGAACAAUUGUUUAAGGACUAUCCCUUCCAAACUGAGUUUUCCUCUUUAGUUUUCCGUUCUGCCCCUCUUGACCUUGAUAUUGUUAAUGGCGCGAUAUUGCUUCCGGAUCUGGUCCCAGUGUAUUUUUCUAGACUUGUUUCUCGUGCUGUCUCUCUCUGACUGUUCUCUGUUCUCCAGGGUCAGGCCCUCCUUGUUCCACGCCAAGCCCUGCACCUCUCUGCUCCCACACCUUGACUCUGACCGCUCUCCAAGCUCACUUGUCUUUCUCCUCCCUCCUGAAUAAAAUCCCAAGCCAUCCUCCAGGCCCCGCUGAAAGGCUGCCCCCUCCUAGAAGCCAAGGCAGGACAAGGCCCCGCCACGAUGUUCCCGAGCACACUCCCCGUGGCCAUCGAUACCAGGAGCAUGCACCCUGCCUCCCACCAGGUGUUUUCUCUCUAUGCCUGGCUCCCCUUAGGACCGUGGGCUCUUUCAGGCUGCAGACAGCAUGACCUUAAUUGCUGCAUCCCCCUUCCAGACUGUCAGUGCAGAGCUUGCUGGGACCCAAGUCACAGCAGGUAGUGCUUCAUCCCAACUGAAUUCACUAGAUGACGGAAGACAGUUUCCUCUCAAGGUCUAGGGUGGAUAAGAAAUUUCUGCCAAGGAGUGCCUUUCAUUUGAAAGUUAGAUUGCUGGAUUUUGUUUCUUUUAAUCUCACAAACAUAAUGUUUAGUGAAACCAUGCACAACUAUGUACUAAAAAUGUGAUGAUGGAGUAUGUGAUUCUAUUGUUAUAAAAUGCAAAAGAGGUCAGAAUGGCUGGAGCUUUUGAAGGACUCAGAAAACUAGAGGUUGCUAGAUUUUAUUUGUAGUAGGAAGUGUUUGACACACCUAGAUGUCUAUAAUAGGGGUUUGUUUACAUAAAAUAAUUGACAUGUAUAUAAUAGAGUACUAUGCAACCAUUAAACAUGACGUAGAAACAUAGUUCUUAAUAAGAUAUCCACAAUAUAUUGAUAAAUUUAAAAAGGUAUGGUCAUAUGUUCUGUUGUAUCUCUUUUUGUGUGUGACAUGGGUUCAGGGAGUCUGGUAGCAGGUGAGUGAAUGUGGGUGACUCCAUCCCUUCCCCCCUUCAGGUAAUAGCUGGGGGUGGGGCUGGGAGAGGGAGAAAUGGGGGCUACAGAAGAGGCUCUGAAGUGGCUGGGAGAUGCCCCAUUGAGGUGUAAGGGGCCUUAGGGUCAUUCUCAGAACAUUGGGAGCAGAGAAAUGGUUUCUUGUACAGGGUAGGACCUGAUGCAGCCACUGUGGGGUUACUUCACCCCAUGGAUGGAAAGGACUGUGUAUUUAAGCCCUGGGCAACCCCUUUGGAAGAGCAGAGAUGGGAAGGGCAUUUCUCCUGUGAGGAGGCAGAAUGUCGAUGUGGCCCAGGGAAGGGACAGUGGCUGAGAGUCAGGAGUGACAAAGCAGAAUUGCCCCAGGGAAGCUAGGGUGGUCCAAGGCAGAAGAAGAUAAAGAUGAUGCAUGGCCACCUGAGCUUGAAAAGCUAGGUGGAUGAGCAACACGGGGCAGUAGCCUUCAAGGAGCACCAGCAAGGUGCUGUGAGGGUGAGCAGUGAUAGACACAGGCAGAGGUGGGCACUGGCUUGGGAGCAUGUGUGGGACACCUCAAGAUGUCCAGGGAUACUUGACAUACUACAGGGAGGAACCUCAGAAAGGGAUCUGGGGGCCUGAGGACAGGCAGGUACAGCCUAUCAAAUCAGCAAUGACCAUUCAUCUUCCUCAGUUGAGCCCCCCACCUGGUAAGACCUGGGGGGUUUUGGGGUUGCAUUUACUUAAUUUUUAUUUUUUUAUUUUAUUUUUUGUCUUUUGGGGCUGCACCCAUGGCAUAUGGAGGUUCCCAGACUGGGGGACUAGCUGGAGCUACAGCUGCCGGCCUAUGCCAAAGCCACAGCAACACUGGAUCCGAGCUGUGACUGUGACCUACACCACAGCUCACAGCAAUGCCAGAUCCUUAACCCGCUGAGCAAGGCCAGGGAUCGAACCCGAAACCUCAUGGUUCCUAGUCGGAUUCGUUUCCACUGUGCCAUGACGGGAACUCCUGCAUUUACUUAAUAAAUGAUACGUACACAAAGAAAAGCCUAGAAAAGUAGACAUCAAGGUGUGAACAAUGGCUGUCUCUGGGUGGAUGGAUGAGUGUUUUUCUUUCUUUCUUGUUUGGUAUUUGUGUGUUUUCUGGUAUUCCUGAAAGGAACAUGUGUUGCCCUUAU